RNAcentral lists this ribosomal RNA (499 nucleotides) under uncultured bacterium. RNAcentral describes it as "partial 16S ribosomal RNA". It matches the Rfam family "Bacterial small subunit ribosomal RNA", at positions 28 to 507 of the family's 1533-position model. The record is from RNAcentral.
GACGAACGCUGGCGGCGUGCCUAAUACAUGCAAGUCGAGCGAAGUUUUUCUGGUGCUUGCACUAGAAAAACUUAGCGGCGAACGGGUGAGUAACACGUAAAGAACCUGCCUCAUAGACUGGGACAACUAUUGGAAACGAUAGCUAAUACCGGAUAACAGUAUUUCUCGCAUGAGAGAUAUUUAAAAGUUGGUUAUGCUAACACUAUGAGAUGGCUUUGCGGUGCAUUAGCUAGUUGGUGGGGUAAAGGCCCACCAAGGCGACGAUGCAUAGCCGACCUGAGAGGGUGAUCGGACACACUGGGACUGAGACACGGCCCAGACUCCUACGGGAGGCAGCAGUAGGGAAUCUUCCGCAAUGGGCGAAAGCCUGACGGAGCAACGCCGCGUGAGUGAAGAAGGAUUUCGGUUCGUAAAGCUCUGUUGUUAGGGAAGAAUGGAUAUGUAGUAACUAUACAUGUAAGAGACGGUACCUAACCAGAAAGCCACGGCUAACUACGUG